RNAcentral lists this unclassified non-coding RNA (357 nucleotides) under soil metagenome. RNAcentral describes it as "partial contains 5.8S ribosomal RNA, internal transcribed spacer 2, and large subunit ribosomal RNA". The stretch from base 1 to 120 matches the Rfam family "5.8S ribosomal RNA", at positions 35 to 154 of the family's 154-position model. The record is from RNAcentral.
GAUGAAGAACGUAGCGAAAUGCGAUAAGUAAUGAGAAUUGCAGAAUUCAGUGAAUCAUCGAAUCUUUGAACGCACAUUGCGCCCGUUAGCAUUCUAGCGGGCAUGCCUGUCCGAGCGUCAUUUCAACCCUCAGGGUCCCCGUUCCGGCGGGGAACCUGGUGUUGGGGAUCGGCCCGCCCCGUGCGGCGCCGUCCCCCAAAUUCAGUGGCGGUCUCGCUGCAGCCUCCCCUGCGUAGUAGUUACAACCUCGCAUCGGAGCUCAGCGCGGACACGCCGUAAAACCCCCGACUUUCUGAACGUUGACCUCGGAUCAGGUAGGAAUACCCGCUGAACUUAAGCAUAUCAAUAAGCGGAGGA